AUGCCUGUGUCCAGAGGCUGCGCAGCCCCCGCAGCCCCACAGCCCCACUGCUGCCUCCAAGCCUGCGGGGCUGUGCUGGGUGUGGGGCUGCACUCACACGAGGCCAAGUCCCCAUCCCACCAGGGAGGCAAGAGUCCUGUGGGACCAGGCUCUGGGGGCUGCGCCAACCUCACUGCACUUGUGCAGGGCUGUGGCUGUGCCAAGGUGCUCGAGGUCACGUUGCAGAUGCCCAUGAGCCUCCUGUGGGGACUUCACCAAGCCCCUGAUCCACAUGACUAUCGGCCACAGAGAUCCCAGGUGUGGAGCUCAUUCUCUCACACGUGCAAUGGCAGCAAUGCCAGAGGGGCUGGGGUGGCAAAAUCCUCAGGGGAAACUGGCCAUGAUGGGAUGAGGAGAGUGUCUCUUCUUAGGCAGGGCUGGGCACUCAGCCACCAGCGGGGGUCCAUGCUGGUGCAGAGGUGCUGCAGGGUAGUAUGGAGGCUGCACACCCAUCAGUGGGGAGCAAAAUCCCAACACAAGCCCUUUCCCACCCCUGUCCCGUGUCUUGUGCAAUGCCAUGGCAGCAGUGCACCCCAGUCCUCAAUUUGCCCUGCACCCUGCCCAGGCCGGCCCCUGCCUCCUGACUACCCUGGGGCCAGUGGCAGCUGCCAUGAGCUGCAGGUCAGCUGGGAGCCUGAGGACAGGGCACCAGUCAUGGGGAGUGGGGGUCCUUGCCUUGCCCCUGUGGCUGCACAGGGAUUGGCACUGCUGGCUCGGGAAAGGCAAAUGCAGCUGCAGCCACAGUCUAAGGGCAGAUGGUGGUGCCUGUGUGUGACCCCUCUGGCCCCCAGCACUGGGACUACCAGCAGUGGUGUUGCAUGUAGCCAACCCAGUGCUGUCUCCUUGUUCCUGCUCUCCUGGCACAAGGUCUCUUCUUCACAGCUGUGGCUCCAAGUGGAGUCGUACUGGGUGUUUGCAGCCUGGCUCCACGAAGGUCAGCAGCCACAGGACCGUGACGCAGGAACAUACCCCGUUGUCCAACACCAGUGUGGGGCAAAAGUCCCCUGA
This 1047-nucleotide long non-coding RNA is filed under the name Serinus canaria (Common canary). Its description in RNAcentral is "lncRNA (ENSSCAG00000011203.1)". The record is from RNAcentral. Lineage: Eukaryota; Metazoa; Chordata; Aves; Passeriformes; Fringillidae.